This 434-nucleotide ribosomal RNA is filed under the name uncultured Lachnospiraceae bacterium. Its description in RNAcentral is "partial 16S ribosomal RNA". It matches the Rfam family "Bacterial small subunit ribosomal RNA", at positions 341 to 792 of the family's 1533-position model. Lineage: Bacteria; Bacillati; Bacillota; Clostridia; Lachnospirales; Lachnospiraceae. The record is from RNAcentral.
ACGGAAGGCAGCAGUGGGGAAUAUUGGACAAUGGGGGAAACCCUGAUCCAGCGACGCCGCGUGAGUGAAGAAGUAUUUCGGUAUGUAAAGCUCUAUCAGCAAGGAAGAAAAUGACGGUACUUGGCUAAGAAGCUCCGGCUAAAUACGUGCCAGCAGCCGCGGUAAUACGUAUGGAGCAAGCGUUAUCCGGAUUUACUGGGUGUAAAGGGAGCGUAGACGGCAAAGCAAGUCUGAAGUGAAAUCUAUGGGCUCAACCCAUAAACUGCUUUGGAAACUGUUUAGCUAGAGUGCAGGAGAGGUAAGUGGAAUUCCUAGUGUAGCGGUGAAAUGCGUAGAUAUUAGGAGGAACACCAGUGGCGAAGGCGGCUUACUGGACUGUAACUGACGUUGAGGCUCGAAAGCGUGGGGAGCAAACAGGAUUAGAUACCCUGGUA